UCAGGACGAACGCUGGCGGCGUGCUUAACACAUGCAAGUCGAACGAGAAUCUACUGAAAGAGUUUUCGGACAAUGGAAGUAGAGGAAAGUGGCGGACGGGUGAGUAACGCGUGAGGAACCUGCCUUGAAGAGGGGGACAACAGUUGGAAACGACUGCUAAUACCGCAUGAUGCAUAAGGGUCGCAUGAUUCUUAUGCCAAAGAUUUAUCGCUUCAAGAUGGCCUCGCGUCUGAUUAGCUAGUUGGCGGGGUAACGGCCCACCAAGGCGACGAUCAGUAGCCGGACUGAGAGGUUGAACGGCCACAUUGGGACUGAGAUACGGCCCAGACUCCUACGGGAGGCAGCAGUGGGGGAUAUUGCACAAUGGGGGAAACCCUGAUGCAGCGACGCCGCGUGGAGGAAGAAGGUUUUCGGAUUGUAAACUCCUGUCGUUAGGGACGAUAAUGACGGUACCUAACAAGAAAGCACCGGCUAACUACGUG
RNAcentral lists this ribosomal RNA (482 nucleotides) under uncultured bacterium. Its description in RNAcentral is "bacterial SSU rRNA". It matches the Rfam family "Bacterial small subunit ribosomal RNA", at positions 24 to 507 of the family's 1533-position model. The record is from RNAcentral.